RNAcentral lists this long non-coding RNA (949 nucleotides) under Equus asinus (donkey). RNAcentral describes it as "lncRNA (ENSEASG00005028871.1)". The record is from RNAcentral. Lineage: Eukaryota; Metazoa; Chordata; Mammalia; Perissodactyla; Equidae.
GAGCCCGGGAGCCUCACGGCCACCACAGGCACUGGAGCCUGGGUGGGAGUCCUGUCAUAUCUGACUGGGGUUUUCCAAAAGCUCAAACAGGACCGAAGCCGACUGAGGCUUGGUGAAACCGACAGAUACACCCCGCCCAGGCAUUCAGAAAGGGCGCGUGGGGCCGACGCACCCGCGUGCCUACUGUGUGUCUGGCCUCUGCGGAGUACUCAGGCUUUGGACCUCGGGGCCUCCCUGCACCCCAGGCAGGAGCAGCAUCCCUGUCCCAUUGGGAAACAGUGGCCAGGAGUCACCAAGGCAUGCCAGCUCGGAGGGCUAGAAUCUCAGCUCUUUCUCUGCAAAACGAACAGGGAGCCACAACUUCCUGACUUCGAAGGCCAGGCUGGAGCCCAAGAAGGCUUUGCAGCCCCCUGGGUGUGCUCAUUGUGUGAGCCAAGUGUUGUCUCUGGUGAUGAUGCCGACAGCCCGGCUCUCCUCGUGUUUCCGCUGCUGCGUGGAAUGUGAACCAGCUGAGCCGGACCAGCGCCGCCCCAGGGCAGGAGGCCAGGUGUGCUGUCUCUGGACGACAGGCAUGAGGAACAGCGACGCCUGAUGUCACCAGGGCCUGGGAACCACCCUGCCUGGGGGAUGCUGGCCCUCUCUGCUAAUGUGCUUGGGUCCUUAUUUCCUCUUUGAAUGUGUUUCUUGAAAAACAAACUCUUUGAGGUGAAAAAAGUUUAUGGUUUUUAGAACAAUGGUUUGAAAUAGAGCAAAUACUGGUAACAGGCUCUGCAGAUAAUUCUAUAAAGCUGUGAAAGAGCCACGAAAUAGUUUACUCUAAUCACCCUGUACAAAGCAGCCACCUUCAGGAUUCAUUUCUUCAAGUGGUGUCAAUUCAAUUAAUCAUAAAAAAAUGAUUAAAAGAAUUUCAUACAACUUUGCUUUUAAAAUAAAAUCUUGGUGAACCAGC